Molecule: long non-coding RNA, 395 nt
Filed under: Androctonus crassicauda
Lineage: Eukaryota; Metazoa; Arthropoda; Arachnida; Scorpiones; Buthidae
Source: RNAcentral
CAUCAUUUCCGUCGACCUCACCAAUGGGGCGAGUUGUCCUCCUAUUGAUUGGCUUACAUUGUUGUUGGUUUCAAACUUCAUUUCUUACUCUGUCUCCCUUCUGUAGUUCACAUAGUUGUCCAUUCACAUCAUCAUCACCAUUACUGUCGCACAUCGUCAAGCCCUCUCAGCCAUCCCAAUGGACGAGCUGCUUUUCCAUCGUUAAGAAUUACAUUGUGGGUUGCUGUUCACCCACUAUCAAACAGUAGAACUUCUCUCUCUAUCUCUAUCUCUCUUCUUUCACUUUUCUGUGAUAUGAUUCACUUGUUUAUAUCACUUGGAUGUUUUCCAAUGUUUGCUGAAUUUCCAUUUUCAUGGUUUUGUUCUCAGAUUAUUUCCUUUUGAAGACAAUUCCC